GGUCGUCCCACCCUAAUCUUAUUAAACAAAUGGGCUUUCUACUUGGCCAGUACCAUCUUGUCUGCUCCUUACUAUACACGCGGGUGGCAAAGACAGGAGAAGAUGGAGCCACCGUUUUGAACGUGUCUAUUCCCAGCUCGGAAGGCACAAUCCACAUAGGUCUGCAUGGUCCACCGAGCUGCAUACCCACGGGGCCAGCGGGAGGUGGGCAGCUGCUGGGCUCUCUUCUGAAGCAGACAGGAUCUCACUCUGUUGCUGAGGCUGGAUCACAGCUCCCUGCAACCUUGAACUCUCCCUCAAGCAAUUCUCCCCACUCUGCCUUCCAAAGCACUAGCAUUAUAGGCCUAAGCCACCACUCCCAUCCACUGUAGUGUAAACUGUCUCCUUCAAUGUUUCCAAUAGUUGCGGAGCAGAUCAGAUAAGGGUUCUUCCUGUCUGUUGCUUCAAGUUUCAUUCUCUCUUUAAACAAUACAAGGUUGGCUUCCAUGGUUCCUUCUUAAAGAAUGUUGAAGGUGUGUCUUCAGAUUCAUUUAGUGUUCGUGGAACCCCAGGGAAAGCUGAUGUAAAAACCUCUUUUUUCUCCCAUAUGUCUCAAAAAGUUGUAUUUUCUGGGUCCAAGGGAUCUGCAAGCCUCCUAAAGGCAUUUCCAUUGUCACUACCACCAGGUGUGAACUGUAAUCUGGCACGUAUAGUUCCAAGAACUGUCAUAAUAGAUGCUGAAGAAACAUUGUGAAGUUAACUCGCUGUUACCAACUGUGAAGUCAUUAGCUAGAGGAAUCUUGGGCGGUCUGAAAUCUGAGAUACUGUGGAAAGAACAGAAAGAUCCUGUAUCUUUCCUAUAAUUGUUCUACUGGAAGUUGUCAUUUUACACAGGAGACAUUCUGUUUUAUUUAUUUUCUUUUGAGACAGGGUCUCACUCUGUCGCCCAGGCUGGAGUGCAGUGUUGUUACCACAGGUCACUGGUGCCUCCACUGCCUGAGGACUGCUCAAGCAAUCCUCCUGCCUCAGUCCCCUGAGGAGCUGGGGCCACAGGCCUGCACCACCAUGCCUGGCUAAUUAUUUUUAUUUGUAGAGACAAAGUCUAUCUUGCCUAGGCUGAUCUCGAACUCCUGGGCUCAAGUAAUCCUCCCGCGGUGGCUUCUCAAAGUGCUUGGGAUUACAGAUGUAAGCUACCAUGCCCGGCCUCACAGGAGACAUUUUUGAUGUCCCUCUUGACAGUCUACAAAAGUCUACAAAUCUUUUUUUUUUUUUUUUUGAGACAGGGUCUUGCUCUGUCACCCAGUCUGGAAUGCAGUGGUGCCAUCAUAGCUCACUACAGCCUGAGCUGUACUGAGCUCGAGGGAUCUUCCCGUCUCCGCCUCCUAAGCAGCUGGGACUACAGGUACUUGCCCCCAGGCCCAGAUAAUUUAUUUAAAAACUUUUUUUGUAGAGACAGGGUCUCACUAUGUUGCCCAGGCUGGUCUCAAACUCCUGGCCUCAAACAAUCCUCUACCUCAACCCCCCUAAGUGCUGGCAUUACAGGCAUCAGCUGCCAUGCCUGGCUACAAAUCUUAAUGUUUUCCCCAUGGCUUCUUUUUCUGGCGUUCUUUUCUCAGGUAAUGGAAGUGGGCAGAGAAUGAUCCUUUCCCUAGGCUCCAGUGUGUAAGAAUUAAAGAAAGAGGAAAGAAACACAAUGGCUUGAUGGUCGAGGACAGGUUUAUUUUAAAGAAAACAAACCCAAGAGUGGCUUCUGGCUGAGUUAGAUCAGAGGCAUGCUCUCUUACAGACUAAGAGUUUUUAAGGAUUCAGGGUGGGAGAGUUUAUCAGAGGCUUGGACUGCUUCUGUGUCUCUUUAGGUGUGCUUAUCUGGGAGGGAGUUGUGUGUCUGUUUCCAUACAUCUUCCUGCAGCUGCAGGCAUACCCCCAGGUCUGCUUUUAGCUUCCCUAUCUUAGUGCACCUGAAGGGAAAGAAUGUGCUUAUUAAGGCCCACUGUUAUACUGGGGCCCAAUGUAUGAGGGUGAAGUUUGGCAAUUACCCAAGAGACUUUCCCCCCACCUCCCUCUGUGCCUGAGCUGUCUCAUCUAUGUUUUACUGUCUGCUCUUUCUGUCUGCUUGUUGUUAGAAGAGAAGUGAUUUUCUUGAAAUGCAUGAGGCUGGAAAGGGAGCUGGCACUUAAAGUGGCGGUGUUUGUCCGAGAGGAUGGUGCUCCUGCUCUGUCACAGUGGGCAUGGGGAUUCAGGCCACUGCCACCGAAUUUCAAGAGCCCAAGCACAGAGCCCAGAACUAAAUUGUGAGGGUUUAAAAAAAAAAAAAGCUUUAUUGAAGUAUAAUUGACAUACAAUAAACUUGAAUAUUUAAAGUGU
This is a long non-coding RNA of Homo sapiens (human), 2343 nucleotides long. Ensembl annotates it as long intergenic non-protein coding RNA 668. NCBI's taxonomy places the organism in Eukaryota, Metazoa, Chordata, Mammalia, Primates, Hominidae. The record is from Ensembl.